This 433-nucleotide ribosomal RNA is filed under the name uncultured bacterium. RNAcentral's name for it is "partial 16S ribosomal RNA". It matches the Rfam family "Bacterial small subunit ribosomal RNA", at positions 29 to 507 of the family's 1533-position model. The record is from RNAcentral.
AACGAACGCUGGCGGCAUGCCUAACACAUGCAAGUCGAACGAGACCUUCGGGUCUAGUGGCGCACGGGUGCGUAACGCGUGGGAACCUGCCCUUAGGUUCGGAAUAACUCCCCGAAAGGGGUGCUAAUACCGGAUAAUGUCUUCGGACCAAAGAUUUAUCGCCUUUGGAUGGGCCCGCGUUGGAUUAGCUAGUUGGUAGGGUAAAAGCCUACCAAGGCGACGAUCCAUAGCUGGUCUGAGAGGAUGAUCAGCCACACUGGGACUGAGACACGGCCCAGACUCCUACGGGAGGCAGCAGUGGGGAAUAUUGGAAAAGGGGCGAAAGCCUGAUCCAGCAAUGCCGCGGGAGUGAUGAAGGCCUUAGGGUUGUAAAGCUCUUUUACCCGGGAUGAUAAUGACAGUACCGGGAGAAUAAGCUCCGGCUAACUCCGUG